RNAcentral lists this long non-coding RNA (131 nucleotides) under Mus spicilegus (steppe mouse). RNAcentral describes it as "lncRNA (ENSMSIG00000006842.1)". The record is from RNAcentral. Lineage: Eukaryota; Metazoa; Chordata; Mammalia; Rodentia; Muridae.
GAGCCUGAGAUGGCUGCGCUGAGUUUCACUUCAUGGUUACUGUGGUCAGCCUGAAGAACAGAAGGCAGGAUAAUUACGUUGGGAACAUGACCAUGUGUUUCUGGGAACUUGAAGAGCUGUGGUCAGAAGCA